Molecule: RNase P RNA, 373 nt
Filed under: Steroidobacteraceae bacterium
Lineage: Bacteria; Pseudomonadati; Pseudomonadota; Gammaproteobacteria; Steroidobacterales; Steroidobacteraceae
Description: RNase P RNA component class A
Rfam family: Bacterial RNase P class A
About the family: Ribonuclease P (RNase P) is a ubiquitous endoribonuclease, found in archaea, bacteria and eukarya as well as chloroplasts and mitochondria. Its best characterised activity is the generation of mature 5'-ends of tRNAs by cleaving the 5'-leader elements of precursor-tRNAs.
Source: RNAcentral
GGAGUCGGCCAGGCAACCGCUGCGUCAAUUUCGCGGAGGAAAGUCCGGGCUCCACAGGGCAAGGUGCCAGGUAACGCCUGGGGGGCGCGAGCCCACGGAAAGUGCAACAGAGAGCAGACCGCCCAAGCGCUGCAGCGAUGCGGCGACGGCAAGGGUGAAAGGGUGCGGUAAGAGCGCACCGCGUCGGUGGCAACACUCGACGGCACGGCAAACCCCACCUGGAGCAAGACCAAAUAGGGAAACGCGCAGGCCUGCGGGCCUGCACCUGCGGCCCGCAGGUGUUUCCGGGUAGGUCGCUCGAGGCGUGCGGCGACGCACGCCCCAGAUGGAUGGUUGCCCACGACAGAACCCGGCUUAUCGGCCGACUCCCUGU